CAUAACCACUUGUCAAACUUCAAAAUGACAAAUUAACUGUGUCACAAUUUUCCAAUUGUCGCGUGGCAGAAAAAACAUGAUACAAAAAUUAAAACCAAACGUCUAAGAAAGCAUCAAACUUCCGACACUUACACGACUCUUAAUGCAAAGUGAGAGGGUAAGUAAG
Photinus pyralis (common eastern firefly) is the source of this 166-nucleotide long non-coding RNA. RefSeq lists it as uncharacterized. The record is from RefSeq and is a predicted model, not a curated record. NCBI's taxonomy places the organism in Eukaryota, Metazoa, Arthropoda, Insecta, Coleoptera, Lampyridae. The transcript is spliced from 3 exons.